GAUCCUGGCUCAGGAUGAACGCUAGCUACAGGCUUAACACAUGCAAGUCGAGGGGAAACGACAUCGAAAGCUUGCUUUUGAUGGGCGUCGACCGGCGCACGGGUGAGUAACGCGUAUCCAACCUGCCCAUCACUUGGGAAUAACCUUGCGAAAGUAAGACUAAUACCCAAUGAUAUCUCUAGAAGACAUCUGAAAGAGAUUAAAGAUUUAUCGGUGAUGGAUGGGGAUGCGUU
RNAcentral lists this ribosomal RNA (233 nucleotides) under uncultured bacterium. RNAcentral describes it as "partial 16S ribosomal RNA". It matches the Rfam family "Bacterial small subunit ribosomal RNA", at positions 15 to 237 of the family's 1533-position model. The record is from RNAcentral.